CUUCCUUCCCCACUCCUUGGAACUGGUUCAACCAGAGUACAACCAGCUCAUCUGCAUCUGGCCUCACAAGACAGGCAGGAGGCAGCGGAGGAGGAGGAGCGGGCAGGCGGGCGGCCAGGAGCUGCAGCGGCUGCCACGUGAGCGCACAGCCGGGGCCGCGCCGCGCCGCGCCGCGCCGCCCGGGACGCCAAUGCCGGGCCGGCGGCGCGCGGGGCUUGCUCAUGAGGCCUCUGCCGAGCCGGAGGAGGAGGAGCCACGGCCUCUCGCUGGGAGUCUUCGCCCUCUGCUUGGCCGCUGCCCGCUGUCUGCAGACUCUCAACAUGGGAAGUUAUCCAUCAGGCCUCCUCCUCAUCAGUGCUCCCGCUCAUUUGGAAGCAGAUGAUCCAAGACUCAAGCAGGUGGUGCCUUCCCGGCAUCUGGGGAGAAGGGCGGCGUUUCCUCUCUGCCGGCAGAAAAGGAGCUGAGAAGAACAUCGGCUCCUGCAAACAUCCUGGCGUAUUAUCGGGACAGUUGAAGAAUACCCCGAUUUCCAUCUCUACUCAGCCACUUACUGUGACAUUGCACAAAUUACCUAACCUCAGUGGCUUGACCUUGCUCCUCUCUAAAAUGGGGGUGAUGAUAUACUCUUCACCAGGCCAGCGCCCACGAGCCAGUGCCCUGCCAUGGAGGAAGAGUGGCGAGUGUGGGGCUGGGCUCAAUCACUCGUGGGGGUCCCCACUAAAAAGGGGAUGCAGUGAGAUUGCUGACCCAUGGGAGAUGUGUUCGGAAGCCAGAGGGUUAAGGGAAGAAGGGCUUUUGUCCUCUCUGUUUACCCAGAGCUGGCUGUCUCUACACCCCCACUGUGGAGCCCCCUUGGGUGCCUCAGAAAUCAGCUGUUGUCUACCUUAGAGUUUUCUCUUUGCUCUUCAACGUUUCUUUGAGUCUCAGAUGGGGUGACCAGCUGUCCUGUUUUGCCCAUGACUGUCCUGAUUUUAGCACUGAAACUCUUGAAUCCUGGGAAAACUCUCAGCCCUGGGCAAACCAUGAGGGUUGGUCACCUGAGGCUGGUGACACACUGAUGGAGAGGGGUGAGCAGUGGGGACUGCAGCUCCUGGACGGGUACCUUGUGCUCAGCCCCGCUGGGCCUUACAUGUGUUGUGUCACCUCAUCCUCACAGCCCUCCUCCCAAGGUUUUCCAGUCCUCAUUCCACAGUGGAGGACGCCGGGGCUGUCAGCAGUGAAGGCGCCGUCUCUAGGUCUCGACAGCUAAGAGGUCCCCAGGGUGAACCUGUGUGGAUCCUCCCACAUCAGGUAUCUCCACCGCACCUCACCGCACCUGGAAUAACCCUUUUGUGAUGUGACUCAUCACUUCACCAACCUGCUCCAGUGCUUCUGAAUUAGGACCCUAAACUAGGCUUUCUGACUUCUAGUUUAGUUGCCUACAGUCUUGAUAAGGAUGCUGAUGACGAUGAUGCUUGUUUCCUGGUUCUCAUCUGAUGAUCACACUGGCUGGAUAAGUGGCUUUCCAGAUAAGUGAGCUGAAAAUGAGUUGUCCUGGGACUUCCCAGGUGACGCAGUGGUGAAGAAUCUGCCUGCCAGUGCAGGGGACACGGGUUUGACCCCUGGUCCGGGAAGAUACCACAUGCCACAGAGCAACUAUGCCCGUGCGCCACAACUACUGAGCCUGUGCUCUAGAGCCCGCGAGCCACAACUACUGAAGCCUGCGCACCUAGAACCCGUGCUCCGCAACAAGAAGCCACCGCAAUGAGAAGCCCGCACAACGCAACGAAGAGUAGCCCCCGCUCGCCACAACUAGAGAAAGCCCGCGCAGCAACGAAGACCCAAUGCAACCAAAAAAAUAAUAAUAAUAAAAUUAAUUAAUUUAAAAAAUGAGUUGUCUUGAUUAAGGUGUAUCCUCCAUGGCAGGCAAUAUCUGUCUCCCCUUUAAUUGAUGCUGUUGUCCCCCCCAAAUUGUGGUGUGAACAGUAUUAACCUUUAUUGUGAUUUCAGGAAAUAUAUCCUUCUUAAAUAAUAAAUUUUUAAAAGCAG
This is a long non-coding RNA of Balaenoptera musculus (blue whale), 2028 nucleotides long. The record is from Ensembl. Lineage: Eukaryota; Metazoa; Chordata; Mammalia; Artiodactyla; Balaenopteridae.